RNAcentral lists this ribosomal RNA (492 nucleotides) under uncultured bacterium. RNAcentral describes it as "partial 16S ribosomal RNA". It matches the Rfam family "Bacterial small subunit ribosomal RNA", at positions 29 to 507 of the family's 1533-position model. The record is from RNAcentral.
AGUGAACGCUGGCGGUAGGCCUAACACAUGCAAGUCGAACGGCAGCACAGUAAGAGCUUGCUCUUACGGGUGGCGAGUGGCGGACGGGUGAGGAAUACAUCGGAAUCUCCUUUUUCGUGGGGGAUAACGUAGGGAAACUUACGCUAAUACCGCAUACGACCUACGGGUGAAAGCAGGGGAUCUUCGGACCUUGCGCGAUUGAAUGAGCCGAUGUCGGAUUAGCUAGUUGGCGGGGUAAAGGCCCACCAAGGCGACGAUCCGUAGCUGGUCUGAGAGGAUGAUCAGCCACACUGGAACUUAGACACGGUCCAGACUCCUACGGGAGGCAGCAGUGGGGAAUAUUGGACAAUGGGCGCAAGCCUGAUCCAGCCAUACCGCGUGGGUGAAGAAGGCCUUCGGGUUGUAAAGCCCUUUUGUUGGGAAAGAAAAGCAGCAGGUUAAUACCCCGCUGUUCUGACGGUACCCAAAGAAUAAGCACCGGCUAACUUCGUG